This 319-nucleotide unclassified non-coding RNA is filed under the name fungal sp. RNAcentral's name for it is "partial internal transcribed spacer region". The stretch from base 1 to 46 matches the Rfam family "Eukaryotic small subunit ribosomal RNA", at positions 1786 to 1831 of the family's 1831-position model. Lineage: Eukaryota; Fungi. The record is from RNAcentral.
AAGUCGUAACAAGGUUUCCGUAGGUGAACCUGCGGAAGGAUCAUUAACAUCUUUUGAAUUGGUGGUGGUGGGUGUGAGUUUCAUUAUUGAGAUUUCCACUCAUCAUCCUCAACCCCAUUGUGUGCAUGUAUGUGUUGUGUCGUGAGUUGGUAGAGCCUAGCUCUACUUAUCUCUUCACUUCACCUCACCUCUCACUUUUAACCCCAAACCCCUUCUUCUCAUCACACUAGACUGACUUUCAAUCCUCGUUUUCGCUCCCUACCAACGGAGCAAAACAUCAAUCAGCAUACAACUCUUAGCAACGGAUAUCUAGGCUCUC